UACAGAGGUGCCAAGCGUUAGGCGGAAUCACUGGGCUUAAAGCGCGUGUAGGUGGACGGGUAAGUAUCUUGUGAAAUCCCACGGCUCAACCGUGGAACUGCUGGGUAUACUGCCUGUCUUGAGGCACUCAGGGGCAGCUGGAACAAAUGGUGGAGCGGUGAAAUGCGUAGAUAUCAUUUGGAACGCCAAAGGCGAAAGCAGGCUGCUGGGAGUGAUCUGACACUGAGACGCGAAAGCCAGGGGAGCAAACGGG
This 253-nucleotide ribosomal RNA is filed under the name uncultured prokaryote. Its description in RNAcentral is "partial 16S ribosomal RNA". It matches the Rfam family "Bacterial small subunit ribosomal RNA", at positions 524 to 776 of the family's 1533-position model. The record is from RNAcentral.